RNAcentral lists this long non-coding RNA (660 nucleotides) under Marmota monax (woodchuck). The record is from RNAcentral. Lineage: Eukaryota; Metazoa; Chordata; Mammalia; Rodentia; Sciuridae.
CAAAAACAUAAGAAUUAUACAUAUCAAGGGGUUCCAUGUGAAGUUUUGAUACAUGUGUACAUUAUAUACUGUUCAAAGCAGUUUGAACAUAUAUCUCUGUAAAUUUCAAAAUCCUUUUUUAAAAAUUUUUAUUAGAGCAUUAUAGUUAUUCAUGGUAGCUGGAUCAUCCCAACACAAUCACACAUGCAUGGAAUCUGACCCACUCCUUUUCGGUUCCCUUUCUUCCCCCCACUCUUCACCCAAGUCCUCCUCCAGUGAACCUGCCCAAACUCAUCUAUUUAUCCAUUCUUGAUUGAUGCUUUCCACACACACACAUUAAGAUGAAGCUCCUUGUGGUAUAUUUACAUAUGCACAUAACAUCAUUUUGUUAAUGAUGAUGCAUUUCCUACCUUGUCUGUCCUUCCCCCUCCCUAUCUCCUUCUACUCCACUGAUCUUCCUGUAUAGUUAUGAUAUCUGAUUCUCCCCGAUACCUUCUUUCCCUUAUUUCUCUGUAGCUUCCAAAUACAAGAGGAAACAAAUAUUUGACCCUUGAGUCUGGCUUAAUUCACUUAGCAGGAUAUUCUUCACUUUCAUGCAUUUACUGGAAAAUACCAUAAUUUCAUUAUUCUUUAUGGCUGGGUAAAACUUCAUUGUGUCUAUAUACCACAUUUUCUUGAUUC